GACGUAGGGCGCGAGCGUUGUCCGGAUUUAUUGGGCGUAAAGAGCUCGUAGGCGGCUUGUCGCGUCGACCGUGAAAACUUGGGGCUCAACCCCAAGCCUGCGGUCGAUACGGGCAGGCUAGAGUUCGGUAGGGGAGACUGGAAUUCCUGGUGUAGCGGUGAAAUGCGCAGAUAUCAGGAGGAACACCGGUGGCGAAGGCAGCACUCUGGGACGGUACUGACGCUGAGACGCGAAAGCGUGGGGAGCAAACAGG
Molecule: ribosomal RNA, 253 nt
Filed under: uncultured bacterium
Lineage: Bacteria
Description: partial 16S ribosomal RNA
Rfam family: Bacterial small subunit ribosomal RNA
Source: RNAcentral